GACGAAGGUGGCGAGCGUUGUUCGGAAUCACUGGGCGUAAAGCGCACGUAGGCGGUGCCGUAAGUCGGAUGUGAAAUCCCCGGGCUUAACCCGGGAACUGCGUCCGAUACUGGUGGGCUUGAAUCCGGGAGAGGGAUGUGGAAUUCCAGGUGUAGCGGUGAAAUGCGUAGAUAUCUGGAGGAACACCGGUGGCGAAGGCGGCAUCCUGGACCGGUAUUGACGCUGAGGCGCGAAAGCUAGGGGAGCAAACGGG
RNAcentral lists this ribosomal RNA (253 nucleotides) under uncultured bacterium. RNAcentral's name for it is "partial 16S ribosomal RNA". It matches the Rfam family "Bacterial small subunit ribosomal RNA", at positions 524 to 776 of the family's 1533-position model. The record is from RNAcentral.